Molecule: ribosomal RNA, 2146 nt
Filed under: Pseudomonas kilonensis
Lineage: Bacteria; Pseudomonadati; Pseudomonadota; Gammaproteobacteria; Pseudomonadales; Pseudomonadaceae
Description: bacterial LSU rRNA
Rfam family: Bacterial large subunit ribosomal RNA
Source: RNAcentral
UAUGGUCAAGUGAAGAAGCGCAUACGGUGGAUGCCUUGGCAGUCAGAGGCGAUGAAAGACGUGGUAGCCUGCGAAAAGCUUCGGGGAGUCGGCAAACAGACUUUGAUCCGGAGAUGUCUGAAUGGGGGAACCCAGCCAUCAUAAGAUGGUUAUCUUGUACUGAAUACAUAGGUGCAAGAGGCGAACCAGGGGAACUGAAACAUCUAAGUACCCUGAGGAAAAGAAAUCAACCGAGAUUCCCUUAGUAGUGGCGAGCGAACGGGGACUAGCCCUUAAGUGGCUUUGAGAUUAGCGGAACGCUCUGGAAAGUGCGGCCAUAGUGGGUGAUAGCCCUGUACGCGAAAAUCUCUUAGUCAUGAAAUCGAGUAGGACGGAGCACGAGAAACUUUGUCUGAAUAUGGGGGGACCAUCCUCCAAGGCUAAAUACUACUGACUGACCGAUAGUGAACUAGUACCGUGAGGGAAAGGCGAAAAGAACCCCGGAGAGGGGAGUGAAAUAGAUCCUGAAACCGUAUGCGUACAAGCAGUGGGAGCCCACUUUGUUGGGUGACUGCGUACCUUUUGUAUAAUGGGUCAGCGACUUAUUUUCAGUGGCGAGCUUAACCGAAUAGGGGAGGCGUAGCGAAAGCGAGUCUUAAUAGGGCGUCUAGUCGCUGGGAAUAGACCCGAAACCGGGCGAUCUAUCCAUGGGCAGGUUGAAGGUUGGGUAACACUAACUGGAGGACCGAACCGACUACCGUUGAAAAGUUAGCGGAUGACCUGUGGAUCGGAGUGAAAGGCUAAUCAAGCUCGGAGAUAGCUGGUUCUCCUCGAAAGCUAUUUAGGUAGCGCCUCAUGUAUCACUGUAGGGGGUAGAGCACUGUUUCGGCUAGGGGGUCAUCCCGACUUACCAAACCGAUGCAAACUCCGAAUACCUACAAGUGCCGAGCAUGGGAGACACACGGCGGGUGCUAACGUCCGUCGUGAAAAGGGAAACAACCCAGACCGUCAGCUAAGGUCCCAAAGUUAUGGUUAAGUGGGAAACGAUGUGGGAAGGCUUAGACAGCUAGGAGGUUGGCUUAGAAGCAGCCACCCUUUAAAGAAAGCGUAAUAGCUCACUAGUCGAGUCGGCCUGCGCGGAAGAUGUAACGGGGCUCAAACCAUACACCGAAGCUACGGGUAUCACGUAAGUGAUGCGGUAGAGGAGCGUUCUGUAAGCCUGUGAAGGUGAGUUGAGAAGCUUGCUGGAGGUAUCAGAAGUGCGAAUGCUGACAUGAGUAACGACAAUGGGUGUGAAAAACACCCACGCCGAAAGACCAAGGUUCCUGCGCAACGUUAAUCGACGCAGGGUUAGUCGGUCCCUAAGGCGAGGCUGAAAAGCGUAGUCGAUGGAAAACAGGUUAAUAUUCCUGUACUUCUGGUUAUUGCGAUGGAGGGACGGAGAAGGCUAGGCCAGCUUGGCGUUGGUUGUCCAAGUUUAAGGUGGUAGGCUGGAAUCUUAGGUAAAUCCGGGAUUCUAAGGCCGAGAGCUGAUGACGAGUUACCCUUUGGGUGACGAAGUGGUUGAUGCCAUGCUUCCAAGAAAAGCUUCUAAGCUUCAGGUAACCAGGAACCGUACCCCAAACCGACACAGGUGGUUGGGUAGAGAAUACCAAGGCGCUUGAGAGAACUCGGGUGAAGGAACUAGGCAAAUGGCACCGUAACUUCGGGAGAAGGUGCGCCGGUGAGGGUGAAGCACUUGCUGCGUAAGCCCACGCCGGUCGAAGAUACCAGGCCGCUGCGACUGUUUAUUAAAAACACAGCACUCUGCAACACGAAAGUGGACGUAUAGGGUGUGACGCCUGCCCGGUGCCGGAAGGUUAAUUGAUGGGGUUAGCUAACGCGAAGCUCUUGAUCGAAGCCCGGUAAACGGCGGCCGUAACUAUAACGGUCCUAAGGUAGCGAAAUUCCUUGUCGGGUAAGUUCCGACCUGCACGAAUGGCGUAACGAUGGCGGCGCUGUCUCCACCCGAGACUCAGUGAAAUUGAAAUCGCUGUGAAGAUGCAGUGUAUCCGCGGCUAGACGGAAAGACCCCGUGAACCUUACUAUAGCUUUGCACUGGACUUUGAAUUUGCUUGUGUAGGAUAGGUGGGAGGCUUUGAAGCGUGGACGCCAGUUCGCGUGGAGC